UUUGAUAAAAGUGGAAAAACCCAAAUCUCAACUAGCAAAUAAGUAGGAAUCAAGGAACUACUUACCUGCCCAUCUUUAGCAAAUAACUUCUAGCAUUAUAGAUACCUGACGACAGGAGAAAAUCAGUACACAGCCAACAUUGAACCCCGAAAAUUGCAAAGUUAUCAGUUCAAUAUUAAAUUGUGGAAUUGAAAAGCAAGCUUAAAUGUGACUAACCUAAUUGAGCAUACCUUCUGGAGCUUCCUUGAUUCCAGAGACGGUGGAAAUUCAUGGAAAACUCUCAAGAGACUCCCAUGGAACUCUCUAUAUCCGUUGCUAGUGAGGUGUUAAUAGAUCCAAAAACAUGGUAAGCUUAGCUGAAUCUGACGCCCUAACAGACCACCUAGCACAUUCAGGACCGGAAAUGAAACUGCAGCCAAAAGGCAUUAAGGAUGGAGCCAUACCAACUUGAAAAUCUGAAUAUCUAACUCUGUUUACAGAAUGAUUAGGAUGUUACUCAGGUCGUAAAGUCAGAAAAGUGUGGAAUGGGAGUGACUUUGGCCCUGUGUUGUGUCUAUCAAUUCCAACAUCAUUACAAUUGAAGAUCUGGCCACCUAAAAUUUCAUGAUGAACUUGAAAGCCCCCCAGCACUAGUUUGGAAGCUUUAAGUUCUAACAGAAAAUUCUGUACGAAUCAAAAGGGUUUCUUGUAGUUGGUCUAGCAUGACAUUAAUAACUGGAAGAAUUAACUUCAUCCAAUUUAUUGGCAAUCUCUCACGUCCUGAAUCUUCUGAGGAACCUGGUUUCUGGAUUAGCUUCAGUUCUGAGUGUCUCUUCCAUCAAAUUUUCCUGGAGAAUCAAACUGAACAAAGCUCUUAUCAUGGUGCCACAUAGAUGUGGGAGAUCCUAAAUUGGAAAAAGUUCCACUUAACUGUGACCUAAUAAGGUUACUAGCUUUUGGUCCUUCUCCCUGUAUGGUCAUUGGAUGAUCUGUGAAAGCCUCGCCUCUCACUGGCAUAAAUUUCAUAUUAUUCCUCCGGGUG
Molecule: long non-coding RNA, 1021 nt
Filed under: Olea europaea (common olive)
Lineage: Eukaryota; Viridiplantae; Streptophyta; Magnoliopsida; Lamiales; Oleaceae
Description: long non-coding RNA (OEUR_LNC010810)
Source: RNAcentral